RNAcentral lists this long non-coding RNA (232 nucleotides) under Homo sapiens (human). Its description in RNAcentral is "HSALNT0266474". The record is from RNAcentral. Lineage: Eukaryota; Metazoa; Chordata; Mammalia; Primates; Hominidae.
CAUUGCCAAACUAUCCUCCAGAAAGUACAUUCUCCAAAUAAUAAUAGCAAAGGGUGUUUAGGAAAAUGCUGCUGAAUGAUUCACUGCAUAACAGACUAACGGGCUGAGAAAAGGGGCAAAAGAUCUGCAGAGUGUCAAAGUGAACUGGGGACGGCAGCAUGUGCAUGGAAAGGUAGAACUCAAAUGAAGAUCAAGACACUUGUGUGCAGGCAGGGGAAGAGACACCAGGGAC